GAUUGGUCCUCCAGGGCUUCAGGGAACGCAAGGGUUCCCAGGAGAGGGUCUACCAGGGCCUAAGGAUGACAUGGGUUCAAGGUUCAAAGGUGACAAGGGUGACCAGGGCUUCCCAGGGCAGCACGGACCACAGGGAGAGAGAGGAGUCGUGGAGCCAGGGACAAAGGGUGAACCAGGACCUGACAGAUCCUCUGGGAUACCUGGUAUACUUGGGGAAGAUGGAGCGUUCGAACCUAAGG
Molecule: long non-coding RNA, 239 nt
Organism: Salvelinus namaycush (lake trout)
Lineage: Eukaryota; Metazoa; Chordata; Actinopteri; Salmoniformes; Salmonidae
Exons: 4
Source: RefSeq, a predicted model, not a curated record